CAUGGCCACUUACACUGACCUGAACCACCUGGUGUCAGCCACUGUGAGUAGGGUCACCACCUGCCUACGCAACCCCAGCCAGCUCACUGCUGACCUGUGCAAGCUGGUUGUCAACGUGGUCCCCUCCUCUGCCUGCAGUUCUUCAGGCCCAGCUCCGCCCCACUGACCAGGCAGGGCCAGCCAGCAGUACCGGGCCUUGAGGGUGCCAGAGCUCCCCACGCAGGUGUUAGAGGCCAAGAACAUGAUGGUCGCCUAUGACCCCUGCUACAGCCGCUAUCUGACCAUGGUCAUCACCCUCAGGGCUGCAUAUCCAUGUAGGAGCUGGACGAGCAGAUAGAGCAGAUAAUGUCCGAAACAAAAACAGUAGCUAUUUUGUCAAGUGGAUCCCUAAUUAUGUGAAAACAGCUGUCUGUGACAACCUUCCCCUGGGGCUAAAAAUGUUUGCCACAUUUAUUGACCACAGCAUAAUAUACAAUAUUUCAUAUAUUAUUUCAGAUGGUGGGAGCUUACCACUGAGGGCUAGAAGACUGCUUGGGAGGGCAGCCACCAGACCAAGGUGUUAUCGAAGGGCCCCCCCCAGAAGGAGUGGCCACAGUGAGCUCAUGUGGGCUUCAGCCAGGUCCUGUCCGACAAGGGGACCCACGUGGAGAUGAGCGUGGCCGCAGGCCCCGGUCCUCUGUGUUCUUGCUGGCAUGGAGGAUGAGGGGCGGCAGGGCCUACAGCUGGUCCAGAGAGGGCAGGCUGAAACGCUGGGCAGAAGGAGAGGAGCGAGCUCAGGAAGGGGAAGCUGCUGAUCGACGUGACCCUGCAGACCUGUGGGAUGAUUCAGGGACGACACCCUGGACACCGCGCCCCUGCCCGGUUCCACCAGAUCUAGCCUCCCCCUGGGCCCACUCCCGGGCCGCGCGCGGAAGCUCUUCCCCAAGCUCAGCAUCACCUGGGGCGCUUCAGGCUGGCCUACGGCCCCGAUGCGGAGCUCAGCGCCAAGGAGUUCAGCUACCACCGAGGUCUGAAAAAGCGGGCGGAAGUGGGGAAGUCCGGGCUCUUCUGCCCCAAAAUGCUGCUGUGGUGGGGCUCUCCAAGAACCUGUCGGUCAUUGCCCAGGGCCUGUCCCUGGAGCCCCCGAUGAUGAUCAGAUAUGGCAUCAACAAUGUCCUGGAGCUGGUGGGCCGCCAGGUGAAUCUGCAGAUGGUGUACAGCACUGCCUGUGCUGCCCUAACGUGGAACUGGGCUUCAGGAAGAUUAGCCCUGAGCUAACUACUGUCAAUCCUCCUCUUUUGCUGAAGAAGACUGACCCUGAGCUAAC
RNAcentral lists this long non-coding RNA (1306 nucleotides) under Equus caballus (horse). RNAcentral describes it as "lncRNA (ENSECAG00000046264.1)". The record is from RNAcentral. Lineage: Eukaryota; Metazoa; Chordata; Mammalia; Perissodactyla; Equidae.